Molecule: ribosomal RNA, 253 nt
Filed under: uncultured bacterium
Lineage: Bacteria
Description: partial 16S ribosomal RNA
Rfam family: Bacterial small subunit ribosomal RNA
Source: RNAcentral
UACAGAGGUCCCAAGCGUUAUUCGGAUUCACUGGGCGUAAAGGGUGCGCAGGCGGCCGUGUGUGUGAGGCGUGAAAGCCCGAUGCUUAACAUCGGAAUUGCACCUCAAACUACACGGCUAGAGCAUUGGAGAGGGUAGCGGAAUUCACGGUGUAGCAGUGAAAUGCGUAGAUAUCGUGAGGAACACCAGAGGCGAAGGCGGCUACCUGGACAAUUGCUGACGCUCAGGCACGAAAGCGUGGGGAGCAAAAGGG